UGGGGAAUUUUGGACAAUGGGCGAAAGCCUGAUCCAGCAAUGCCGCGUGUGUGAAGAAGGCCUUCGGGUUGUAAAGCACUUUUGUCCGGAAAGAAAUCCUUGGCUCUAAUACAGUCGGGGGAUGACGGUACCGGAAGAAUAAGCACCGGCUAACUACGUGCCAGCAGCCGCGGUAAUACGUAGGGUGCAAGCGUUAAUCGGAAUUACUGGGCGUAAAGCGUGCGCAGGCGGUUUGCUAAGACCGAUGUGAAAUCCCCGGGCUCAACCUGGGAACUGCAUUGGUGACUGGCAGGCUAGAGUAUGGCAGAGGGGGGUAGAAUUCCACGUGUAGCAGUGAAAUGCGUAGAGAUGUGGAGGAAUACCGAUGGCGAAGGCAGCCCCCUGGGCCAAUACUGACGCUCAUGCACGAAAGCGUGGGGAGCAAACAGGAUUAGAUACCCUGGUAGUCCACGCCCUAAACGAUGUCAACUAGUUGUUGGGGAUUCAUUUCCUUAGUAACGUAGCUAACGCGUGAAGUUGACCGCCUGGGGAGUACGGUCGCAAGAUUAAAACUUAAUGAAUUGACGGGGUCAUAGCUGUUUCCU
Molecule: ribosomal RNA, 584 nt
Filed under: uncultured bacterium
Lineage: Bacteria
Description: partial 16S ribosomal RNA
Rfam family: Bacterial small subunit ribosomal RNA
Source: RNAcentral